RNAcentral lists this ribosomal RNA (500 nucleotides) under uncultured bacterium. RNAcentral describes it as "partial 16S ribosomal RNA". It matches the Rfam family "Bacterial small subunit ribosomal RNA", at positions 30 to 523 of the family's 1533-position model. The record is from RNAcentral.
AUUGAACGCUGGCGGCAUGCCUUACACAUGCAAGUCGAACGGCAGCACGGGAGCAAUCCUGGUGGCGAGUGGCGAACGGGUGAGUAAAGUAUCGGAACGUGCCCAGUCGUGGGGGAUAACGUAGCGAAAGUUACGCUAAUACCGCAUACGAUCUAUGGAUGAAAGCGGGGGAUCGCAAGACCUCGCGCGAUUGGAGCGGCCGAUAUCAGAUUAGGUAGUUGGUGGGGUAAAGGCUCACCAAGCCGACGAUCUGUAGCUGGUCUGAGAGGACGGCCAGCCACACUGGGACUGAAACACGGCCCAGACUCCUACGGGAGGCAGCAGUGGGGAAUUUUGGACAAUGGGCGCAAGCCUGAUCCAGCCAUGCCGCGUGCAGGAUGAAGGCCUUCGGGUUGUAAACUGCUGUUGUACGGAACGAAAAGGUUUGACUUAAUACGUUGGACUCAUGACGGUACCGUAAGAAUAAGCACCGGCUAACUACGUGCCAGCCGCCGCCGUAA